This 775-nucleotide ribosomal RNA is filed under the name uncultured Neocallimastigales. RNAcentral's name for it is "partial large subunit ribosomal RNA". It matches the Rfam family "Eukaryotic large subunit ribosomal RNA", at positions 22 to 628 of the family's 3401-position model. Lineage: Eukaryota; Fungi; Neocallimastigomycota; Neocallimastigomycetes; Neocallimastigales. The record is from RNAcentral.
GUACACGCUGUGACUAGCAUAUCAAUAAGCGGAGGAAAAGAAACUAACAAGGAUUCCCCUAGUAACGGCGAGUGAAGCGGGAAGAGCUCAAAUUUGAAAUCUUAAAGGGUUUCCCUUUACGAAUUGUAGUUUAAAGAAGUGUUUUCUGUUGAGGUUUUGGUAAAAGUUCUUUGGAAUAGGACAUCAUAGAGGGUGAGAAUCCCGUAUUUGACCUUUACUUUCAACUUUGUGAUACACUUUCAAAGAGUCGGAUUGUUUGGGAAUGCAGUCCAAAAUGGGUGGUAAAUUUCAUCUAAAGCUAAAUAUUGGCGAGAGACCGAUAGCGAACAAGUACCGUGAGGGAAAGAUGAAAAGAACUUUGAAAAGAGAGUUAAACAGUACGUGAAAUUGUCAAAAGGGAAGCGUUUGACACCAGUGUUGUUUUUCUGAAAAUCAAUUAAAGAACUGUUUAUGCUAAGCUGUUUAGACUUUAUCAGCUAUCUGUUUAGUUUUAGGCCUUUUCUUUAAUGCACUUUUCAGUUAACAAGUCAACAUCAAUUUCUUUUGCUGUAAAAAAGCUUGAGGAAGGUGGCUUGAGAUUCGUCUUAAGUGUUUAUAGCCUCUUGCCUAUGCAGUCGGAGAGAUUGAGGUCUGCAGCGUAGAUCCUUCGGGGCUAAAUGCAUUUGUGCUAAGUUAUAGCAUUUUAUAGACAACUUGUUGACUAUGAUUUGUCUUGUAGCUUACUCGCUUAUGUUAUUUUACCUACGCUUAGGAUGUUGAGUCGUAGAGCACGCAG